RNAcentral lists this ribosomal RNA (491 nucleotides) under uncultured Caryophanales bacterium. RNAcentral describes it as "bacterial SSU rRNA". It matches the Rfam family "Bacterial small subunit ribosomal RNA", at positions 28 to 504 of the family's 1533-position model. The record is from RNAcentral. Lineage: Bacteria; Bacillati; Bacillota; Bacilli; Caryophanales.
GACGAACGCUGGCGGCGUGCCUAAUACAUGCAAGUCGAGCGAACAAUUGAGGUGCUUGCACCUCAGGCGUUAGCGGCGGAUGGGUGAGUAACACGUGGGCAACCUGCCCUGCAGAUGGGGAUAACUCCGGGAAACCGGGCUAAUACCGAAUGAUCUGUUUCUCCGCAUGGAGAAACACUAAAAGACGGUUUCGGCUGUCACUGCAGGAUGGGCCCGCGGCGCAUUAGCUAGUUGGUGAGAUAAAAGCUCACCAAGGCGACGAUGCGUAGCCGACCUGAGAGGGUGAUCGGCCACACUGGGACUGAGACACGGCCCAGACUCCUACGGGAGCAGCAGUAGGGAAUCUUCCACAAUGGACGAAAGUCUGAUGGAGCGACGCCGCGUGAGUGAAGAAGGUUUUCGGAUCGUAAAACUCUGUUGUGAGGGAAGAACAGAUGUGACCUAACUAGUCAUGUCCUGACGGUACCUCGUUAGAAAGCCAGGCUAACUAC